Molecule: long non-coding RNA, 2895 nt
Organism: Amphiprion ocellaris (clown anemonefish)
Lineage: Eukaryota; Metazoa; Chordata; Actinopteri; Pomacentridae
Source: Ensembl
CUACAGCAGAGGUGAGGCUUGACUUCAACAGCUCUGUGCCAUCCGCACAACUUCCAACUUCUGAUGACGUGGCACGAGUCUUGGUGGACGCUGUCUCCAAUCCCAACAGUACCCUCAAUGUCAGCAUUCUACCGGACUCCGUCCAAGUGACUGGAUCUAAAUUGACUGGAGCAACAACAGCAACUGCCAGAAUGACAGCAGCAGUCAAUGCAACAACAAGCGUUCCCUCCACUACCGAGGCUGCUCCACCGUCCGUGUAUCUGCGAGCAACACUGGAUGAAGUGUUUGUGCCAGAAUUCACAAAUAGAAGCAGUGAAGAAUUCAGGAGUCUUGAGGCCACAGUCAUACGAUUCUGCGACGGCAUCUACGUGACUCGAUUUGGCUCCCGCUUCAUCCGCACUGUCCUCAUAAGGUUUAGCCAAGCUCCAGGCAACGGCAGCACAAGCAAUACUACAGCAGAGGUGAGGCUUGACUUCAACAGCUCUGUGCCAUCCGCACAACUUCCAACUUCUGAUGACGUGGCACGAGUCUUGGUGGACGCUGUCUCCAAUCCCAACAGUACCCUCAAUGUCAGCAUUCUACCGGACUCCGUCCAAGUGACUGGAUCUACAAUACCGGGACCAACAACAACCACUCACAUAUCUACAACAAAUGGAAGGACAACAUCUGAUGGGUCAACAAGUGGAGUAGCUACAACAACAUUUUUAUCAACAACAGGCGGAACAACUACAACAGCAGCUGGAUCAACAGCAACUGCUGGAUCAACAACAACAAGUAGAACAACAACAACUGCUGGAUCAACAACAAGUGCAUCAACCGUAAUUAGUGGAACCACAGCAGCAGUCACUACAACAACUAUUUCUACUACCACUGAGGUUCCCACACCAGUUGUGGUUCUUGGAGCAACUUUAGAAGAACCAUUUGUAGAAGAAUAUAAUGAUAGAAACAGCGAACCAUUUAGAAGGCUUGAGGCAGUUGUCGUACGAGCAUGCAAUUCCAUCUAUUUUGCCCAAUAUGACUUCCUGUUCAUUCGUGCUUUUGUCAUACGCUUUAGGUCAGUUGCACGCUUCACUAUAACAAAUGUUACUGCAGUUGAGGUGGGACUUGAGUUCAAUAGAUCUGCGACACCUGCAGAACUUCCAACAUCUGCCGCUAUUUUACAAACCUUUGUCCGUGCUGUUUCUACUCCUAAUACCUUCAACCUCAGUGUUCAGACCAACACCGUCCAAGUACUUCAAUCAAAUAUAGCAAAUUUAACUACUACAUCCCCCGCUGUAAAUACUACGACCACAGCCACCAGUGCUGCAACCAUAGCCUCCAGUGCUGCAACCACAGCCACCAGUGCUGCAACCACAGCCUCCAGUGCUGCAACCACAGCCUCCAGUGCUGCAACCACAGCCACCAGUGCUGCAACCACAGCCUCCAAUGCUGCAACCACAGCCUUCAAUGCUGCAACCACAGCCUCCAGUGCUGCAACCACAGCCUCCAGUGCUGCAACCACAGCCACCAGUGCUGCAACCACAGCCUCCAGUGCUGCAACCACAGCCUCCAAUGCUGCAACCACAGCCUUCAAUGCUGCAACCACAGCCUCCAGUGCUGCAACCACAGCCUCCAGUGCUGCAACCACAGCCUCCAGUGCUGCAACCACAGCCUUCAAUGCUGCAACCACAGCCUCCAGUGCUGCAACCACAGCCUCCAGUGCUGCAACCACAGCCUCCAGUGCUGCAACCACAGCCUCCAGUGCUGCAACCACAGCCUCCAGUGCUGCUGCUACAACUCCAACUACUGAGGCAUUAGUCACAAGGCAGCUGAGCUUCAGAUCUGUUGGAGAGACAUUUACAACUGAUUUGCUGAAUUCGUCAUCUGAAGCAUUUACACGUCGAGCCUCACUGUUAACAUCAACACUUACACCUUUCUACCAGGCAGAAUUUCCUUCAUUCCGCUCAUGUAUCGUGGAUUCAUUCAGUAAUGGAUCAAUCAUCAACAACGCAACCCUCAGAUUUGCAUCUAUGUCUGUUCCUAAUAACACGGCGAUCAGAAACGUUUUGAUCAGCGCAGCUUCAAAUGUCACAGCCUUCAACAUCGACACCAGCUCCAUUUUUGUGGAAAACACAGAAGUGUCAGGUGGAGUAAGCCACAAGAUGAGCCUGGCCACUGCAUCCUGCUUGGUGCUGCUGUCGUGGCUGCUGUCAUGCCAGCAGUAGCGUCUCUGCUGAUGUCCGUGGAAAAUCCCACUGGAAAAUGUCUGCAGUCGCUGCUGUGAGAGAGAACUUUGCAUGAAAGUUACUUUUAUUUGAAAAUCCAAGAGGACCUUCUGAUGAAUUGCAUAUAUAAUCUGACUUGGAAGGAACUUAUGGAUUUUAAAUUCACCAAAAUUACAAUUUUCUCAGUUUAUUUACAAAUGUAAUUUAUUGUGUUAAAUAAUUUAAGUUAUAAAUAAUGAUACUGAAAUUAAACAUGAAGGCAAAUCUUUAAAAAUGUUAUAAUUUUUAAUGACAAUUCUUAAUUUUAUGUUUUAAUCUAAAUAAGGGCUGGUGAUGCUGACAGCUAAAUAAUGUCUCAAUGAAGGAAAAUAUUCAGCGAAUACUCACAUUGUGAUUUCUCCUUUUCUUUUACCUUCCAUUUGGCAGAUGCAACAUAUAUAUUUUGUACCCAGCAGAGAGUCUUUAUAUUCAGGAGUUUUCAUAGUCUUCCUUUCAGAUCUCACAUAUUUUUAGGAUGUCACUGUGGCAUGUUAAACAUCAAUUCACUGUUCAGGUCUGUGGCCUGUUAAUGUUGUUCUGGUUUUUUGUGUUGUUUGAUGCUCUCUGUUUAUAUCCUUGUGUGGUUGGUUGAUUUUCUUCACAUAUUUGUUCACAUAUUGCAUGUAUUCUUUCAUCUGUUAAUAAAAGAGGG